Molecule: ribosomal RNA, 474 nt
Filed under: uncultured bacterium
Lineage: Bacteria
Description: partial 16S ribosomal RNA
Rfam family: Bacterial small subunit ribosomal RNA
Source: RNAcentral
GAUGAACGCUAGCGGCAGGCCUAACACAUGCCAGUCGAGGGAGGAGCUUUCGGGCUUCGACCGGCGUACGGGUGCGUAACGCGUAUACAAUCUGCCUUUCACAUAGGGAUAGCCCGAAGAAAUUUGGAUUAAUACCUAAUGGUAUAUAGGAGUGGCAUCACAUUUAUAUUAAAGCUGAGGCGGUGAAAGAUGAGUAUGCGUUCUAUUAGCUAGUUGGAGAGGUAACGGCUCCCCAAGGCGACGAUAGAUAGGGGUUCUGAGAGGGAUAUCCCCCACACUGGUACUGAGAUACGGACCAGACUCCUACGGGAGGCAGCAGUGAGGAAUAUUGGACAAUGGUCGGAAGACUGAUCCAGCCAUGCCGCGUGCAGGAAGACGGCCUUAUGGGUUGUAAACUGCUUUUGCAGGGGAAGAAUAAGGACUACGAGUAGUUUGAUGACGGUACUCUGCGAAUAAGCAUCGGCUAACUCCGUG